This 464-nucleotide ribosomal RNA is filed under the name uncultured bacterium. Its description in RNAcentral is "partial 16S ribosomal RNA". It matches the Rfam family "Bacterial small subunit ribosomal RNA", at positions 28 to 506 of the family's 1533-position model. The record is from RNAcentral.
GACGAACGCCGGCGGCGUGCUUAACACAUGCAAGUCGAACGGAAAGGCCCCCUUGUGGGGUACUCGAGUGGCGAACGGGUGAGUAACACGUGAGUAACCUACCCUUGACUUUGGGAUAACUUCAGGAAACUGGGGCUAAUACCGGAUAGGAGCUCCUGCUGCAUGGUGGGGGUUGGAAAGUUUCGGCGGUUGGGGAUGGACUCGCGGCUUAUCAGCUUGUUGGUGGGGUAGUGGCUCACCAAGGCUUUGACGGGUAGCCGGCCUGAGAGGGUGACCGGCCACAUUGGGACUGAGAUACGGCCCAGACUCCUACGGGAGGCAACAGUGGGGAAUAUUGCACAAUGGGCGGAAGCCUGAUGCAGCAACGCCGCGUGCGGGAUGACGGCCUUCGGGUUGUAAACCGCUUUCGCCUGUGACGAAGCGUGAGUGACGGUAAUGGGUAAAGAAGCACCGGCUAACUACGU